Molecule: transfer RNA, 85 nt
Filed under: Pedosphaera sp.
Lineage: Bacteria; Pseudomonadati; Verrucomicrobiota; Pedosphaerae; Pedosphaerales; Pedosphaeraceae
Also listed under: 5 other names
Description: tRNA-Leu
Rfam family: tRNA
About the family: Transfer RNA (tRNA) molecules are approximately 80 nucleotides in length. Their secondary structure includes four short double-helical elements and three loops (D, anti-codon, and T loops).
Source: RNAcentral
GCGCGCGUGGUGGAAUUGGCAGACACGCCAGACUUAGGAUCUGGUUCCGCAAGGAUUAGAGGUUCAAGUCCUCUCGCGCGCACCA